Long non-coding RNA from Carya illinoinensis, 3017 nucleotides. RefSeq lists it as uncharacterized. Lineage: Eukaryota; Viridiplantae; Streptophyta; Magnoliopsida; Fagales; Juglandaceae. The record is from RefSeq and is a predicted model, not a curated record. The transcript is spliced from 2 exons.
UAAUUUAAAAUAAAUAAAUCAAUAUAUUAAUUAAAUUAAAAACAACCAUUCAGUGAAAAUACACGUAAAAGCGGAUCAUCACAAUAGUCGUGGCCCAUGGCAUUUUGGUUCAUUGACCUAUUCUCUGUGUUUAGGUAUAUAUGCAAUAAUUUUAGUAUGCUUGCUGCUUUUGCUAAUAAUUGACAGUGAUUGUUCGAGUAGUAAAUUCCUAGAAUCUGAUUCACAUAAAGAAAUACUGGAUGCUUUAAACAAGAGGUAUAAACAAGAGCAAAUUAGCAUGGACAUGUUCACUAGGUCUCUUUUAUUGGCUCGGUUUCUUAAACCAUCUAUCGCCAUGGACAGUAUUAGUUUUACAAGCACCAAGUAAACUUUUUCUCUGAGAUUCUUGACAAAUCCGACUUUUCCCUCCUUUUACCCUUUUUGUUUUUUACAUUUUCGUUUACCUUGUUUUGUUAGAUGUUAGAAGCUGGUUCAGCCGUUGCCCAUCCACCAUCACCACUUCCACACACUCAACCCACCAUUAGAGUUUCUUUCUGUUGAUCCACCUCACUUCCGCUACCAAGCCUCCAUCCCAUCAACGCGUGAAGCCGACUCUUCGUCCCAUCUUGCCGCAAGGCUUCUGUCAUCCUGUAUUCAAGUAGCGGUUCUAUCACCCACCUUCCAUAAGCAUGGCAUCCUUUAUUCUCCUUUGUCAUGGGGUGACUUUUGGUUUAUGUUCUCUUUUCCAAGGAUUCAAUUUCACAUCACACCAACAAUGCAGGUGGGUAGCCUUUCCUCCUCCCUCCCUAGCGAUCAUAUUUCUUUCAAGGGUAGCAGCCUUUCCUCACUCAGUUCAUCUACCUCCUUUACCAAGCGUUUCUUCUUGUUGGCGCUUGGCAACCCCCUUAAUUUCCCCCAUUUCUUCUCAAUUUUCCUUGAUGCCUUCUUCAUUUUCUUGUUUUUUCGAAGAUUUGUACCUACUCAACCAGCUUUCACCAACACGCAUACAAACUCAUCGUCUCCAUAUCCAACUCGUCUACCUCAUCAUUUUGGCCUUAAAACUCACAUAUUUCACAUUCACACGGCAACCAUUCACAUAUUUAACAUUUCCCUGCAAUUUACUGUAUCUUUGUUGUUAUUUAUAGUUGUCUUUUAAUUCUACUUCUCCGUAUUAUUUCUCUUUUGAUAAUAUAAUAUGUAUCUUUAUCGACAGAAAAAAUAAAUAAAAGGAUUCAACUACCUCAAGUUUUAAUUAAAGUUUUAAAAGUCGAACUAAAAAAAAUAUUAAAUAAAUAAAGAAGUUGAAUAGGGGAAAAGUUGUGCACCUACAUUUGAGGGCUCUUGUAUUGAAGCCUUCACCUAUUGGUGAGAAAGUCUGAAUCAGGAUAUGGUAUAAAUCAAGCCUUUUACACCCUCCAAUGGAGAGUUGACUCAUGAGCUCUCCAUCGAGCUUAAAAUAAGCCCAUUCAUACUGAAUUAAAAUUAUAAAUAAUUAAACUUAGAGAGAGAGAGAGAGAGAGAGAGAGAGAAGAAUAGCUUAGUCAGUCCGACACCACCUCCGGCAUCAAAGUAGUGGAUGGCCACCAUGGUUCAGUGCCAGGGUGGCACAGGAUUGGCCAAAACCAACCAAAAUAAAGAGAUAUGGCGCUUGGGUGAUGUCGAACUGGCCAAAUCUAGUCAUCUAGUCAAUUCUAUCGAAUACAACAAAGUGGUGGCAUUGGAUGUGGCAAAUCCGAUAGAAUCUACCAAGUUCGGCAUUGUGGUGGUGUUGGAUCCAACCUUGGUUGCCAUAUUAAUUUCUGGCGAGCUCCGGCUGCAGCUCAUAAAUGGUUGGUGUGGCAGCCACCUCCCGCAAUGCCAAAUUAUUAUUUUUUUUAAUUUAUUAUUCCAACCGUUUAUCAAGGUGGUGGCCUCGGCCUUGAGUGACCAUCAUAAUGAUGUUUAAUGAUUGUCUUAAGAACAAUUAGCAUUAGGGUUUAUAUUUUUGGAUUUAAGAUUUUUCUUUAAGAAGAAAACAAUAAUCUAGUGUAGUUGAACUUACUAUAAAAUCUGUAGGAUGUUGAAGUGGUGCAUCAGGAUUGGAGGGUACCCAAUCCUGCCAGCAACAACCCCCCUUAUUGGGCAAGAAAAGGCAGCAGAGGAAAAUCCAGCAAAAACAACGUAACAUUGCCUCGAGCCCCAACCAACAAGAAGAAUCAUUCGGGAUGUGCACACAUGCAGAAAAACAGAUGCAGAAAAUGUGGACCUACAAAAACACAUGCACAUGCAGUGCAGAAAGCAUUCGGACCACAUGACAGCAAAUAUGCAGACCAUUCAUCACAUGGACAGCACAUGCAGAACAGAAAAAUCACAUGGACAGCAACCAAUCAUUCGGAAAGCAGCUCACACAUGCACAUGCAGGAUAGCAACUCACACUUGCAGCAGCACAUGUACAGCAGCAGAAAAAUCUUUCAACAAAGCAGACAAUCACGCUGAAGGAAAAGCAAUUGGACAGCAUCAGCAGAAGAUCAUUCGGACCACAACAUCACACAUGCAGAAAAUUCUACCAUGCAGCAGACUAAAACAUACAAACAUGCAGAAAAAUACAAACAUACAGACCAAACUCACAUGAACCGAAAGCAGCAGCAGAAGUUUUUGACCCUUUACUUUUCAAACUUGUUUUUAUAUGGCAGGGAGACUUUUGUUCAUGGAGGAGGAGUAGUUUUCGGUUUGGCAGCAGCAAGACUUGGGCAGCUGUUUUUCUUGACUUUUACUUUGAUUCAUUUCUUUUUCUUGCUUUCAGUUUGGCAGCAAGAGCGGGAGAGUUUCAGUUUUUCUUCUUUCUUUUCUUCUGGUUAAAGGAAAGAGUUGUUGUUGGGAGGGGGACUUUGGAUCUUUGCAUUUUCCGUGGGAGAUAGAACUCUCUCUCUCGGUUUCAUUGUUUUUGUUUUUUUUAGUUUUAUUACUGGGUUGUUUCGUUAGGCAGUAGGAGUAGCUCUUAUUUUUAUUUUACUGCAGUUCAGUUCAGCAUUGAAUUUAUUUACUUUUUCGUUUUCAUC